UACAGAGGUCUCGAGCGUUGUUCGGAAUCACUGGGCGUAAAGCGCGCGUAGGCGGCGACACAAGUCAGAGGUGAAAUCCCAGAGCUUAACUCUGGAACUGCCUUUGAAACUGUGUUGCUAGAGUACUGGAGGGGAGUGGGGAAUUCCUAAUGUAGAGGUGAAAUUCGUAGAUAUUAGGAGGAACACCGGUGGCGAAGGCGCCACUCUGGACAGUAACUGACGCUGAGGCGCGAAAGCGUGGGGAUCAAACAGG
This 253-nucleotide ribosomal RNA is filed under the name uncultured bacterium. RNAcentral's name for it is "partial 16S ribosomal RNA". It matches the Rfam family "Bacterial small subunit ribosomal RNA", at positions 524 to 776 of the family's 1533-position model. The record is from RNAcentral.